GUCGAGCGGUAAGGCCCCUUCGGGGGUACACGAGCGGCGAACGGGUGAGUAACACGUGAGCAACCUACCCUCAACUUCGGGAUAAGCCUCGGAAACGGGGUCUAAUACCGGAUAUCACUUCCUAUCUCAUGGUUUGGGGUUGAAAGUUCUGGCGGUUGGGGAUGGGCUCGCGGCCUAUCAGCUUGUUGGUGGGGUAAUGGCCUACCAAGGCGUCGACGGGUAGCCGGCCUGAGAGGGCGACCGGCCACACUGGGACUGAGACACGGCCCAGACUCCUACGGGAGGCAGCAGUGGGGAAUAUUGCGCAAUGGACGAAAGUCUGACGCAGCAACGCCGCGUGAGGGAUGACGGCCUUCGGGUUGUAAACCUCUUUCAGCAGGGACGAAGCGAGAGUGACGGUACCUGCAGAAGAAGGACCGGCCAACUACGUGCC
This 433-nucleotide ribosomal RNA is filed under the name bacterium S7-014-16S. Its description in RNAcentral is "bacterial SSU rRNA". It matches the Rfam family "Bacterial small subunit ribosomal RNA", at positions 61 to 509 of the family's 1533-position model. The record is from RNAcentral.